CGCAGCCGCGGUAAUUCCAGCUCCAAUAGCGUAUAUUAAAGUUGUUGCAGUUAAAAAGCUCGUAGUUGAAUUUCGGGAUCAAAGGAUCGGUCAUGCCUUGGUAUGUACUGGUUUUAUUGGUUCUCACCUUCUAAAGAACCAUAAUGUCAUUCAUUUGAUGUUAUGGGGAAUUAGGACUGUUACCUUGAAAAAUUAGAGUGUUUAAAGCAGGCUUACGCUUGAAUACAUUAGCAUGGAAUAAUGAAAUAGGACAUCAGAUUCUAUUUUGUUGGUUUCUAGGAUCGAUGUAAUGAUUAAUAGGGAUAGUUGGGGGCAUUAGUAUUCAAUUGUCAGAGGUGAAAUUCUUGGAUUUAUUGAAGACUAACUACUGCGAAAGCAUUUGCCAAGGAUGUUUUCAUUAAUCAAGAACGAAAGUUAGGGGAUCGAAGACGAUCAGAUACCGUCGUAGUCUUAACCAUAAACUAUGCCGACUAGGGAUCGGAUGAUGUUAAUUUUAUAAUGACUCAUUCGGA
This 512-nucleotide unclassified non-coding RNA is filed under the name uncultured Glomus. RNAcentral describes it as "SSU rRNA". It matches the Rfam family "Eukaryotic small subunit ribosomal RNA", at positions 569 to 1084 of the family's 1831-position model. Lineage: Eukaryota; Fungi; Glomeromycota; Glomeromycetes; Glomerales; Glomeraceae. The record is from RNAcentral.